RNAcentral lists this ribosomal RNA (418 nucleotides) under Phrynoglossus sp. 2003.0356. Its description in RNAcentral is "partial 16S ribosomal RNA". It matches the Rfam family "Bacterial large subunit ribosomal RNA", at positions 1834 to 2441 of the family's 2925-position model. The record is from RNAcentral. Lineage: Eukaryota; Metazoa; Chordata; Amphibia; Anura; Dicroglossidae.
CUUGUUUAAAUAUAAGAGGUCCAGCCUGCCCAGUGAUAAUUUAUUCAACGGCCGCGUAAUUUAAAGCGCGCAAAGGUAGCGUAAUCACUUGUUCUUUAAAUGAGGACUCGAAUCAACGGCAUCACGAGGGCUAUACUGUCUCCUUCCCCCAAUCAGUGAAACUAAUCCCCCUGUGAAAAAGCAGGGAUAUUCCUAUAAGACGAGAAGACCCCAUGGAGCUUUAAACAUAACAGCAUCUUUAAAAUUUCGUAUACCCACCCUAUUAACAUGAAAGCAUUGUGCGUUAGUUUUAGGUUGGGGCGACCGCGGAGUAUAAAAAAACCUCCAUAACGAAAGGGAAUAAGCCCUUAUUUAAGAAAAACAUUUCUACAAAUUAUUAAUAUAACGUUUAAUGACCCGAUUAUCGAUUAACGAACCA